CCCUGGAGCCCUGCACCACACCUGGACUCCUGGUCUGAGCUGCUCAGCUAGAAAUCCCCGUGCCCGCUCUAAACCCUGGCCAGCCUGCCUUGUUCCUAGAAGGAUGGUGGCGAGGAUGGUUCCCUGCUGAAGAGGAUAAGUAACGAGAGAGAGCCCCCCUCCUAACAGGAUGGUGAAGAUGGUAUCAAUCAUCCAAGGAGUGAAAGUGCAGCUCAACCAGGCUGGUAAAAAGUUCUAAAAGCUUAGAAACAGAAACCAAUUGAGAAUUAAAAGCCAAGUCAUUGAAAUGAAGAUCCACGUGAGAAGUUUGUCAUGCCCUCCUACACCUCUGAUAAGUGGAAACAGAUCCUGUGUGGAAAGCAUGCCUUCGGAGGCUUCAGCGAAACGAGCGGGAAGACACAGAUCCCAGAUUUCAGACUGGCCCACCUGCAGGUUUCUCAUGGAGAUGCUUAAUGCUGAGAGUGACCAGGUUUCCCAGGAAGCCACGGAGAAACUGCAAGCUGCCAGUGGCUGUUCUCACUGCUGUGCUUGGCCGUGUUAUCCUUUGGGCAAGAAAUACAAUCAAGAUUAGUUGCCCAGGUACGAAGACCACAUUCCAGCUCCUAUUCACCUGCUGGUGAGUUCCUCUAUAUUGUGGGUCAGGUGACAUUUUAGGGGACAGUGGUCCUCUGGAGGUGUGGGAAGGAUGAACUGUUUUCUGAGUGAUUUUGCAGCAAUGAAAUUUCAUCCAACAGAGAUAUGAGGAAAACAAAUGUCCUAGUAACUGCCUAGUAGGGAAAACGUCCCAAACUAUUUUUAUUUAGGGAAAUAGUCUGUAUUUGUGUGAAAAAAUGUUUCAUGGAAGAUCCGCGACUAGAGGAAACGAUGCAUCUGGGCCUGGAAAGUAAUAUUGCUGCUUCACGAUUUUGUUGUGGGCUCCCAGGCCUUGUGUGGCUGUUGCCAUCUUUGUCUCCAGGCCAAGGGCCUGUUUGUCAGGUCCAGGACAUCCCAGGGGGCUAUUGGUCUGUAGGCAGGUGCUCUUACCCACUUCUGUCCCUUGCUAUCCGCAUGGACACAUGGCAUCAUCUACAAGGGAGAGGUGUUGAUUUUAUUAACUAGCUCUGUUUCACAGGACAGAGUUCAUACAGUCUGUCAUCAUGUUCACUACUGCCUUCUUUCCAAUCUCUAGGUAGAAGGAGAUAACCAAUGUUCAAAUCAUCCUACUUACAUAACAAAGCACAUGAAUUGUUUUCUGUAACAGUGGUCUUACUUUGAUAGCCAACUGAGUCUGUUAGAGACCUGACUGGAGGUUGCAGGGACAUGAGGAUGAAGCAUUGAUAGCUGGUGAAGCCACUCCUCAUAGAUUUGAGUCAUCUCAUAGAAUUGCAGAAUUGAAGACCAUUUGAAGGCCACCUUGUCCAGUCUGAGGUUGCCCGAAAAGAGAGUGACCUGACAAGGGAGAGUUGGCAGUCACAUACUAAUAGUAGCACCGUCCUUUGAUGACAUCAUUCUCUGGGGUGACAGAUGUCUCAUCCAAAAAUGACUGAAAAGUGCAAUCAUUUUAUGAAACUAGAAAGAAGGUUGAAUGUGUUUAUUCAGGUCUAACAUAAUUUUAAAACCGUCUCUAAUGCAAAAAAUAGACACUUUUAUAUUUUCACUCAUUCCUUUACGCUGCUGUAAAUCUUCCCAUGUAUGACCACCUCCUAGUGGACUGGCCACACCAAUUCAGUGAUGCUGUACUGUGUAUUGCAGAGCAAUAUCUCUCAAAGUGGAUAAUAAAGAACACUGUUUUAUAAAAAGAUUCUGUGGAAAGAAGGUGGACAUUUGGGUUACGCGAA
Long non-coding RNA from Hipposideros armiger (great roundleaf bat), 1817 nucleotides. RefSeq lists it as uncharacterized. The transcript is spliced from 3 exons. Lineage: Eukaryota; Metazoa; Chordata; Mammalia; Chiroptera; Hipposideridae. The record is from RefSeq and is a predicted model, not a curated record.